RNAcentral lists this long non-coding RNA (3425 nucleotides) under Olea europaea subsp. europaea. The record is from RNAcentral. Lineage: Eukaryota; Viridiplantae; Streptophyta; Magnoliopsida; Lamiales; Oleaceae.
UUCAGAUCAUGACCAAGAUUUAAAGAAGUGGAGCAACACGCAAAGUGCAAGAAAAAGAAGAAACAAGAGAGAAUGAAGUUAAGGAAAAUUCAUGCAAAUAGAAUUGUAACCUUGUAAACUGCAAUUUUUUGGCUCCAAGUUGUAAUCGAUCUCCUUUAUACUCUGUUUUUCUGAUUUAUAGUGAAACGCAUCACCAAGAUUGGAUACAGGAAUACAAAUUGUGAUCUGAACCAAGAUAAAUUUCAUGUCUUCUUUUUCCUUGCUGUUUAUUGAUUUAUUUCCAGUCAUCUCUAAAAGAAUUGUUGUAUUCCAUAUCCAUUUAAUCUUGUCUGUUCCCCAAGCACUACACAUAUUCACCACAAAUUGAUAUCAAAGCCUCGGCCUUUGCUGGAUUUGGGUUCUCUCUUAAAGUUCUUGAUAUUCACCUAGAGUUCAUCAACUAUUUGAAAGAAGUCUUGUGAUGGCUAACGCUUCUACUAAACAUGAGAUAGAAAAUUUUGAUGGGACGAAUGAUUUUGGGCUGUGGAAGAUAAAGAUGCUUGCGCAUCUUGGGAAUCUUGGUCUGGACGAAACACUGGAAGGGGAGGCAAAAAUGUCUGCAACCUACAACGAGAAAAAGAAGGAUAUCAUGAAGCUAUGGCUUAAACUUGAGAGUCUUUACAUGACGAAAAUCUGCCCAAUCGUUUAUAUCUCAAGGCAAGAUUCUUUACAUUUAAAAUGCUUGAUGGUAAAAUCUUGCAAGAGCAUGUAGAUGAGUUUAACAAGCUCUGUUUAGAUUUAGAAAACGUUCAGGUGGAGUAUGAUGAUGAGGAUAAGGCUCCUGUACUAUUACAUUCACUACCAAAGUCCUAUGAAACCUUUGUAUAUAUCCUAAAACAUGGUAGAGAAACAAUUUCUCUAGAAGAUGUAGGUGCUCUGAAUUCCAAAGAACUACAGAGAAAGAGUAAGAGUUUUGAACAGUAAAGAGAUAGUUUAACAGUGCGCGGUAGAGCUGAAAAGAGAGACAAGAAGGUGAAAAUAAACAAUAGAUCAAAGUCUAAGAAUAGAAAGAAGAUCAGACGUUAUCCCUGUCAUGAAGAAAGUCACUUUAGAAUAUUUUUUCCUAGAAGAAAGAAAGGAGAAAAGAAGAUAGAAAUAGAGGAUGAUGCAACUCUAGUUAAGCAGAGCUAUGAAUGCUCAGACGUACUAGUUGUUACAACCAAGAGCUCUGACAAAAAGUGGGUUAUGGAUUCAGGAUGCUCAUUCCAUAUUACUCCUAAUCAAGGCUGGUUUAAGACAUACAAAAAGAUGGAUUGUAGACAAAUUCUACUGGGUAAUAACAAAGCUUGUAAAGUAAAUGAAAUUGGUACAAUGAGAUUAAAGACUGGUGAUGGAAUAGAAAGAAUUCUCAAUGAUGUUAGAUAUGUUCUUGAAAAGAACUCUUAUUUCACUGGGAAUGCUUGACCAAAAUGGCUAUUGCUAUAAGGGUGAGAAUGGUGAGCUCAAGGUGUUUAGAGGAUCUCUAGUUGUAAUGAAAGGUGUGAGAGAAAACGGUCUGUAUACUCUUCAAGGAAACAUAAUUACUGUUGUUGCUGCUACAGUAAUCGAGGUUGAUAGCUCUAGAAAUUAGUUAUGGCAUAGGAGACUUGGUCAUGUAAGCAAUAGAGGAUUGCACGAGUUUCAAAAAUAGGGUUUAUUUUGUAUUAACAAGUUGGGAAAGCUAGAGUUUGUGAAAAUUACAUCUAUGGAAAGGUACAAGGAUGAAAUUCACUAGGUCAGUGAAAGGAUACUCUGAGUUAUGUGCACUCUGACCUAUGGGGUCCAGCACAACAUGAGAUUAUAUGUGGGGCAGGUAUUUUAUCUCAUUCAUCGACAAUUGUUCUAGGAAAGUUUGGGUGUACAUCUUGAAAUCCAAGGGUGAAGUUUUAUAGAAGUUCAAAGCUUGGAAGAAGAUGGUGGAAGUUCAAACAGGGAAGAAAGUCGAGAAACUGAGAACGGAUAAUGGUUUGGAAUUUUUAAGUGAAGAAUUCAAUCAGUUUUGUAGGGAUGAAGGAAUGGUUAGACACAGAACAGUGACCCAUAUGCUACAGCAAAACGAUCUAGCAGAGAGGAUGAAUAGGACUCCGUUGGAGAGUAUUAGCUGCAUGUUGCUUAAUGCUAAUAUGCUAAAGAAGUUUUGGGAUAAAGCUGUGAAUACCGCUGCUUGUCUUAUUAAUAGAUGUCCUUUAGUAGCAAUUAACCUCAAGACUCCAAAAGAAAUCUGGACAGGAACUUCUCCAAUUUAUGAUGAGAACCUGAAGGUUUUCGAACGUGUCACCUACAUAUAUCACAAACAGGAAAAACUUGAUUUCAGGGCAAAGAAAUGCAUGUUUAUAGGUUAUCCUGGUGGAGAGAAGAGAUUCAAGCUCUGGUGUAAAGAGGGUAACUCCUCUAAGUGUUUCAUUAGUAGAGAUGUCAUCUUCAGGGAGCAGGAAUAUUAUUUGGUUGGUGAAAGUCUAUCUAUGGCAUCGACUGACAAUCAUGAGAGGAACAAUGCUAAGAUUGAGAUGGAGCAAGUUGAGUCUGGAGAUACUCAAACUGAAGCAAGUGGUAGUGCUAAUGAAUAUGAUCAACAUGAAUAGGAUGAUCUGAAAAAUGAACAUCAAAAUGAUUUGAGGUCAUAUCAGUUGAGCAGAGACAAAACUAGAAGACAUUGCAACGAUCCAGUGAGGUAUGGCUAUGAAAAUUUGAUAUCUUAUGCACUAUUUAUAGUUUACGAAAUGGAUGAUACAGAACCCAAUAGCUAUAGAGAAGCCGUCGGGUGUAAAGAUAGUAGAAAUUUGCUGUAGGCCAUAAGAGAAGAGAUGGAUUCUCUAGAAAAGAACAAUACACGGAUGCUUGUUGAAAAUCCUAGUAAUCAAAUAGUGGGUGGCUCUAAAUGGAUCUUCAAGAUGAAAGAAAGUAUGCUGGAAAGUAGCAAGCCUAGAUUCAAAGCGAGACUUGUAGCUAAGGGGUUUACGCAAAGAGAAGGUAUAUAUUUCAAUAAAAUCUAUUCACCUGUAGUGAAACAUUCAUCCAUUAGAGUGCUUCUAGCAUUAAUAGCUCAGUGUGAUAUGAAGUUAGAACAAAUAGAUGUGAAGACUGCGUUUCUUCAUGGCAACCUUGGAGAAAGGAUUUUGAUGGAGCGACCAGAGAGAUUCGUUCAGAAAAGAGAUGAAGAUAAAGCCUAUUUGUUGAAAAAGUCUCUAUAUGGGCUAAAACAAUCACCAAGGCAAUAGUAUUUGAGGUUUGAAGAAUACAAGAUGAGAAACAACUAUUCCAGGAGUAGCUAUGACAGUUGUAUAGAUGAAAAAUUAGGUAUUUUUCUAUUGUUGUCGGUUGAUGACAUGCUGAUUGCAUCAACGAAUAUGACUGAAAUACAAAAGUUGUGCAUAUACGGUACGAUGAGGUUGGUAUGUGCAUAUACG